Molecule: long non-coding RNA, 230 nt
Filed under: Capsella rubella
Lineage: Eukaryota; Viridiplantae; Streptophyta; Magnoliopsida; Brassicales; Brassicaceae
Description: long non-coding RNA (CRUB_LNC004783)
Source: RNAcentral
UACGUUGGAGCCGACGAGGGGACGUGGAUCAACGCUUGUAGGCUUCCUUGGAAGAUCCGAUGCUAUUGGAUGAUGAGCUCGUUUCUACUCUUCCGCUUCCAAAGAUGAAUCUUUCUAUUAGUUUCCUCAUUUGUUGAAGUAUAUACUAUAAUUUUUUAUAAAAAUGCAUUUGCUUUUUUAACAGACUAUUAGAUUUAUUACAAUUGUUCUCCUCAUGCUUUAGAAAGCAA